Molecule: long non-coding RNA, 373 nt
Filed under: Parus major (Great Tit)
Lineage: Eukaryota; Metazoa; Chordata; Aves; Passeriformes; Paridae
Description: lncRNA (ENSPMJG00000016290.1)
Source: RNAcentral
GAAAUAUCAUGUAUGAAAAACAAAAAAAUUAUCUUUGUUUUUGCCUUCCUGCCUGCCCAUACUACAGGAAACCUGCUAAGGCAGUUGAAGAUACGUCUUAUAGGAUACAUGGGCUCCCUGAUGCCAAAGACAUCUCUACAUUCUUACUGUCACUCAGGCAUAAAGGAACACUUUGCAAGUCUAAGCUGUCACCAUCAUUCACACCGCCAAGGAAGAAGCUGGAAAGUGUUGCUCCAUUCUGUACAACCAUCAACAUUAAGGUCUUCCAGAAAUAGAACUACGGUCUCCAGAGACUAUACCAAAGGAAGCAUCAAUGGAGGCAUGAGUGUUAAUUCUUAUUCAAAUUCUUAUUCAAAUUGGUGGCUAUUUUUGG